This is a long non-coding RNA of Pan troglodytes (chimpanzee), 2616 nucleotides long. RefSeq lists it as uncharacterized. The record is from RefSeq and is a predicted model, not a curated record. The transcript is spliced from 11 exons. Lineage: Eukaryota; Metazoa; Chordata; Mammalia; Primates; Hominidae.
GAGGCAGGAGAAUCGCUUGAACCCAGGAGGCGGAGGUUGCAGUGAAUACAAUAAAAUGCACCCAUAGAAUGGCCGAUAUCGCGCCAUUGCACUCCAGCCUGGGUGACAGAGCGAGACUUCAUCUCAAAAAAAAGAAGGAAGAAAGGUACAUUCUCAUAAUGCCUUAAAUUAGUUACUUGGGAUUUAUUUGACAAUGAUUAGGAAUAACUGUUUCAAAAGAUAUAUUUUUUCAUAUACCUUAGAAAACAAUAGAUAUUUGUUCAACUCUCUAAUCGUGGGUUUGCAUUUGAAAUGUGUAUUGUGAUUCAAAAGUUUUCUCUACCUAGAAGGGGAAUACAACACAUGGAAAUUAUUAUUGCUGGUGACACCAGAUAAUAUUUUGCCUAAACUCCUGAGGUGAGUGCUCUAUGAAGACCCCAUUCAACCCAGACCUUUGAAAUGGCUCACUUCCCAUUUAAACUCUAUUAAUCUUCUACCUCAUGGAGGCAACAGGUGGUUUAGAAAAGAGCCAAUAGAAAGAUAAUUUUUGUCCUUCAGGAUCAGUGCCAAUGGAAAAAAGUGACCUGAAAUACAGAUCUCAGGCCUGACAUGAUGAAAAUCUAGUGCCACAGCUGUUGUCUCUCAGAACUGUCACUCAUCAUGUUUUAAUUUCACAGUUUUGAUUUAAUCUUUUCUAAAUACAGCACUGGAUAAAUACAGAACAAGAUAACAAGAGUUCCCAGCAAAGGAUCCAGUGAAUAUCAUUCUUCUAUCAUGCAGCUUGAAAUAACAUGGUGCUAAGCAUGGAUUUUUCCACCGAAUGAGGAAAUUCUAAUUCUAAUUGUUAGUCUCUUUAUCAAUGAUGCCAAGUGGCAAGGAACAUCACCAUCUUUGGAGACCUAGUGGUGGAGUUAAACUACUACAGGGAAACAACUUUACGUAUAGAGGAGUUGAGCUUCCUAGAGGAAAAGAAGGAAAAUCAUUCCUAAUGGAAGAUCAACUAUUCAAGAAAGAAAGAAGAGCAAUGAGAAAGCUAUGUACAGCUUACAGCAAUUUGAUAAAGUAUUCUCUUGUACAUAAAAAUGGAAACAUUUGCUUUUCUUCCCUACUUGAUCUCUCCAAAAUUCAGAAACUAUUAUUUUCUCUAAUAUCUGGGUACAACUCUUCAACAAAGAAUGAGAACUGCUCUGUUCCUGAAACCCUAUAGCCAAAGUUUGACAAUUCAAUAUACAUUCCAAGGGACAAGUCUCAUGCCUGAUGUUUGAGCCACACAGAUAGUUUGUGAGAAUGUCUGAUGCCACAACUGAAGAUAUUCAAACUGCAAAUUAGGAUAACUCUCUGACUUCAUGCUGUGGAUAGCUUUUCACAAAACCAGAGGAACAAGACUCCAUAUCAUAGAAACUGCCACAGCCACCUCAACCUUCAGCAAACACCACCCUGACCAGUGAGCGGCAGUCAACAUUGAGGCAAGACCUUUCAGCAGAAAGAUUAUAAUUCUCUGAAGACUCAGAUGAUCAUUAGCAUUUCUAGCAACAAUGUAUUUUAAAUUAAGAUAUUCGAUGUGAUUCACCAGUACAGCCAUAUGAACAUGAUAUUUUGAUUUUAGGAAUGUUUCAUUACAAAUGCAAUUCCUUCAACAGAGCUCACUGCUUUGGACAUAUAGUCAGUAAUGCAUAAUGCAUUUAACUAAGCAUUUAAUGGAGUUUUCUCUCCCAUUAAUACCAACUUUGAGAAUACUACUUCUUGGAUAUAGUAAAGAUGGUUGCUUCCAGGACUUCAAAAUCAUGGACCAGAUUGGCCAAACCGCAAGGCUUUUUCACUCCUCAGAAGAAAAAGUGGACACUAUAUGCCUCAAUGCAGCCGCAUUCCUGCUGGUCCCCAAAAGUAUAGUCACAAAAUUAAACAGGGGUCUCGCUUUGUCUCCGACUGAAGUGCAGUGGUGCCAUCAUAGCUCAGUGUAACCUCCGACUCCUGGGCUCAAGUGAUCCUUCUGCCUCUGCCUACCAAGUAGCUGGGACUACAGAGCUGACAUACUGUGAGGUUGUUCAGGUAGCCCUGUGGAGAAUCCCACAUUGGGAUGAACUGAGACCUUCUGCCAACAGCAAUCUGAGUGAGCCAUCUUGGAAGCGGAUCCUGUAGGCAUGGUCAAGCCAUCAGAUGAUUUCUCAUGCGUUUGCAACCUUGGCUGACAGUUUGAUCCAGCUAAGCCAUUCCCAGAUUCCUGACCCUCAGAAAUUAUGUGAAUAAUAAAUGUUUGUUGUUUGAGGCUGCUACAUCUUGGUGGAAUUUGUUAUGCAGCAGUAGGUAACUAACACAGGAAGGCAUGAUCCCUGGCCUCCACAAAUUUACAAUGUAGUUGGAAAAGUAGGUUAUAGGCACAAAAAAAUUAACAAACUACGAAAGAAUUUAAACAUUCUAUCAGAUGAACAGGACUGCUGUGGAGUAGAACUCCAGGGGAUGACAUCCACAUGAUGGUCUUUAUGAACUGCGGGUCCUGAAGCACUGUGGACUUGACAACAAGUAAUAAUUUAAAGGAAGAAAUCAAAGUUAUAAAAGUUUGAGUUGAAAAGAUUUGGGUAAACAGUGAGAAGGCUAUACAAGUCUCAAGAUAUGUCUGGGAAUCUCUCAUAGUUAUGA